CAGCAGCCACGGUAAUACGAAGGGGGCUAGCGUUGUUCGGAAUUACUGGGCGUAAAGGGCGCGUAGGCGGGUUUUUAAGUCAGAGGUGAAAUCCCAAGGCUCAACCUUGGAACUGCCUUUGAUACUGGAAGUCUUGAGUCCGGGAGAGGUGAGUGGAACUGCGAGUGUAGAGGUGAAAUUCGUAGAUAUUCGCAAGAACACCAGUGGCGAAGGCGACUCUCUGGUCUGUAACUGACGCUGAGGAGCGAAAGCGUGGGGAGCGAACAGGAUUAGAUACCCCCGUAGUCCCUGUCUCUUAUAC
This 301-nucleotide ribosomal RNA is filed under the name uncultured bacterium. RNAcentral describes it as "partial 16S ribosomal RNA". It matches the Rfam family "Bacterial small subunit ribosomal RNA", at positions 509 to 807 of the family's 1533-position model. The record is from RNAcentral.